This 352-nucleotide unclassified non-coding RNA is filed under the name soil metagenome. RNAcentral's name for it is "partial contains 5.8S ribosomal RNA, internal transcribed spacer 2, and large subunit ribosomal RNA". The stretch from base 1 to 120 matches the Rfam family "5.8S ribosomal RNA", at positions 35 to 154 of the family's 154-position model. The record is from RNAcentral.
GAUGAAGAACGUAGCGAAAUGCGAUAAGUAAUGUGAAUUGCAGAAUUCAGUGAAUCAUCGAAUCUUUGAACGCACAUUGCGCCCGCCAGUAUUCUGGCGGGCAUGCCUGUUCGAGCGUCAUUACAACCCUCAGGCCCCCGGGCCUGGCGUUGGGGAUCGGCGGAGCCCCCCGUGGGCACACGCCGUCCCCCAAAUGCAGUGGCGGUCCCGCCGCAGCUUCCAUCGCGUAGUAGCUAACACCUCGCGACUGGAGAGCGGCGCGGCCACGCCGUAAAACACCCAACUCUUCUGAAGUUGACCUCGAAUCAGGUAGGAAUACCGGCUGAACUUAAGCAUAUCAAUAAGCGGAGGA